Non-coding RNA from Myodes glareolus (Bank vole), 2173 nucleotides. NCBI's taxonomy places the organism in Eukaryota, Metazoa, Chordata, Mammalia, Rodentia, Cricetidae. The record is from RefSeq and is a predicted model, not a curated record.
CUUUUUCCUCUCCCCAGGUGUUCUUUCCCCUCUAUUUUCUCACUGAGUGAAGCAGCACGCUUCUUCUGAUGACUCAGCCGCAGAUAUUUACUGCUGUGAGUGGAGCACAGAAAUGGCUCACCUGCCAGCCUCUGGGAAGGAAGACAGCAAGACUCUAGCUGUGUGCUCGGCUCCUCUAGUCGACAGCUGCCAGUUCCCUCUGGAAAACUCAGGUCAAGAUGUGAGCUCUCAGCUGCUGCUUCAUCAACCUCCCCCCAUGCCCUGGCCCCACCAUCAUGGACUCUAGUCCUCUGGAAUGGGUUUCUCGUGCCGAAAAUGAUGCUCAACUGAACUCAUGUGAGAAACACCCCCUUAAGAUGAGCAGAUUUUUCCUGCCACACAAUCAACUGAAGAUGUUUCUUUGCUACAGACCUCAAAAGACAAAUUGAUCACAGAUUGGACAUUUCAAAACUGGCUGCCGUGUGAAGCAAUGGCAGAGCACUUCUGAAGACACUGAAGCCUGGCAAAUGCUGCGGACAGAAACAACGCUCCAUUUCCGCCUUCAUUGAAAGGAGAAUCAACGUUUGUGUUAAGACAUUUGACAGAGAGUAGCUGUGCCUCAGCCAAAGGCCUUUCCCAACUUCAUCGUGUGGUAGUUAGGAAACCUUUUGAACAAUGACAGUUGGAAGAAUGGAGACUGUAAGCCUGUCAUCUGAUGAAGAAACAGUGACACCCAAAUGCCCUUUAGCAAGUCCCAUUAUACUGUCCAUGCCUCAGCAUUCUCCCAACUGUCCCCUAGGUAGAUGUCGGCAUUAGCAUUCUUGUGUCUCAUAUAGAGAGUCUAAAGUCUGUAGCUGAGCCCCGACUCCAAAACAUAUACUGUUCCGUUCUUCUGGCCUAUAUCUUCUCUCCUAUUCUCUGAAUUGCUCUCAAUAGUGGUGUUCAGAAACCUUAGAAAUCUGAGGGUCUGGACAACUAAGGUAGACCAUAGACAGAAAGGAGACAGAGAGUGUGAAUGUAGGAACAUUUUCUACCUCUAACAUAGGCUAUUAACACAUGUAUAGUAGGACAUAUGGUGACCAUCUGGAACGGAAACUCCUUACGUCACUGCUGAAAUUCAGACCAAUAAUGCAGUCAGUUUAGGAAGAAUUGUAAUGCCCUACUCUCCUAAAAGCUUGCCUUCUGAGUGAAUGCCCUUGGCAAACCAUGAUUAAGAGCAGCAGUAUAUUUGUUGGCACACAAAAUGAAAUGUCAGUUGAUAUAUGGGGCCAUGAUACUCCUUGACCUUAAUUGUCUUCUGGAACAUUGUGUCCUAAUCCUCCCAUGGAUGUCACUGAUAAUGAUCUGGCCAUGCAAGCUUAUACAAACAAAAAGGACAUCCCACAAAGGGAUCAAAGACAUUUCCAUCAAUCAGGUGCCCUGAAGGAAGUGCCAGAUAAACAGUUCCAGCUGGUGGCAAGUAGAGAUAGACCAGGGAUAAACCAACUAUAGUCCUUGGUGAAAUCUGGUUCCUGACCUGCUCAUAUAAAUAAAGUAUUGCUGAAACAUAGCAAGCUUACUUUUUUUCAUGUAUUGUUUGCUUUUGCCUACCACUAUAAAUGGAGUGGUCACAACACAGACUGUAUGAUCUGCAGAGCUGAAAAUAUUCGUGAUACUGUUAUCCAGCUUUUUGCGAAACAAGUUUCUGACCUCUGCACUAGACAAUGGAUGUGCAGGUGAACUUGACCCUGUGAACACUGACAAAACCCUUGGCCAUGUCCUUUGAUAGUGAUAUACCGGAAGGGGAGUUGGAUAGGAAUGUCUGGAGGUCACCAUGUUCAUAGAACUGCUUCUAAAGGGCCUGACUCCAAUCGAAUGGCGGUAAUCGUCCCAAAUUUUCAAAUAUCAGGAAGUCCUCAAACACUGUGCACAUAAUGUAUUUAUGUAGUCAAGACCUGAAGAGCCUCAGCGACCUGAGCAAGCACUCUCUUAGUUGUCUCCUUUCCUAAUGUUGCUGUGCUCAAUUAAAACAGAGGCAGAGUGAGCCCUUAUUAGAGAACUUUUGGAAGUGACAUUUUUGGACUUAAGCAUCUUCUCCUGGAAAACCGAGUGGCUUGAGAAACUGUCUUAAAAGGAUGGCAGAGCAUGAAAUGACAGUAGUAAGUUAGCUUCUCAGCUCUGGAGGAGCCUCUUGAACCAGGAACCCAAAUAAGUA